CUGUACUUUAAGUGUGGUUGCUGCUUUUAUGUUGGCAUUUCCUCAGCCUUACUCCAGGGGCUUUUGUUUUUUUGUAGAGUGCCCUGGCAUUGCCUGAGGAUAAAUUGAAAGUAUGCUCAUUUCCCUCCCCAGAAAGAUUCUCAGUAUCCUCUGGGGCCUACAAUUUGAGCAAAUAUUAACAAUAUGCUUAAGGAAUCCAUAAAAAAAAAAUCAACUAAGACAAGCAAUUCUUCUGUGCUGUCCUUUCUUUCCAUACUCCUUCCACAAGUGUCAGCCAUGUAGAUGCAAAUACUGUUGUGACAUCAUAUGUCUUAUUCAAUACUUGAAAUCAUGCUUCUGUAAGGCUCUUUGCUCUGGAUAUGGAAAAGAGGAUUCCAGGAAGUUUACAGAAGAGACACAGUCUAAGAUAAGAGAUGGGAUAGGUUCAGAGCUGCAUGAUUCAAGAAAUACCACUCUUCCUUCACAUGUAGAACACCAAGCUAGCUUUGUGGAUCAGUGUGUCAAUGUUUUUUCUGAACAGCUUAAGCCAACUGAAAAGUAUGCAUUGAAUUUCUUGGAACUGUUCCAUACUUUUAAUGACCAAAAAAGCCAGAAAAGUCAGCAAGGGGUCUUUUAUCGCCCGUUCUCUAGGCGCAUCAACAUCUCGCUCGGCCUGGCAGCAGCCACGUUUGAUUUGCGUUUUUUUUUGGUACUUUAAGUUUUGAAGAAAAACCUCCAUCCCUGCGAGUGCUGCAUUUUGAAGAAAACCUCCAGCCUUGUGACUACUGAAUUCUGAGUAACUCCGAACACUCCUCCCCCCCUAUACCCACGCUAACAAUAAAAGUCAAUUUUC
Molecule: long non-coding RNA, 832 nt
Organism: Calypte anna (Anna's hummingbird)
Lineage: Eukaryota; Metazoa; Chordata; Aves; Apodiformes; Trochilidae
Exons: 4
Source: RefSeq, a predicted model, not a curated record